This 263-nucleotide ribosomal RNA is filed under the name uncultured prokaryote. Its description in RNAcentral is "partial 16S ribosomal RNA". It matches the Rfam family "Bacterial small subunit ribosomal RNA", at positions 524 to 784 of the family's 1533-position model. The record is from RNAcentral.
UACGGAGGAUCCGAGCGUUAUCCGGAUUUAUUGGGUUUAAAGGGUGCGCAGGCGGGAUGUUAAGUCGGCGGUGAAAUUUUGCAGCUCAACUGUAAAAGUGCCUUCGAUACUGGCUUUCUUGAGUGUGGAUGAAGUAGGCGGAAUUUGUGGUGUAGCGGUGAAAUGCUUAGAUAUCACGAGGAACUCCGAUUGCGCAGGCAGCUUACUAAACCACUACUGACGCUCAUGCACGAAGGCGUGGGGAGUCAAACAGGAGUUAGAUA